RNAcentral lists this ribosomal RNA (447 nucleotides) under uncultured bacterium. Its description in RNAcentral is "bacterial SSU rRNA". It matches the Rfam family "Bacterial small subunit ribosomal RNA", at positions 329 to 793 of the family's 1533-position model. The record is from RNAcentral.
UUCCAGACUCCUACGGGAGGCAGCAGUGGGGAAUAUUGCACAAUGGGGGGAACCCUGAUGCAGCGACGCCGCGUGGGUGAAGAAGCGCCUCGGCGCGUAAAGCCCUGUCAGCAGGGAAGAAAAUGACGGUACCUGAAGAAGAAGCCCCGGCUAACUACGUGCCAGCAGCCGCGGUAAUACGUAGGGGGCAAGCGUUAUCCGGAUUUACUGGGUGUAAAGGGGGCGCAGACGGCGAUGCAAGCCAGGAGUGAAAGCCCGGGGCCCAACCCCGGGACUGCUCUUGGAACUGCGUGGCUGGAGUGCAGGAGGGGCAGGCGGAAUUCCUGGUGUAGCGGUGAAAUGCGUAGAUAUCAGGAGGAACACCGGUGGCGAAGGCGGCCUGCUGGACUGCAACUGACGUUGAGGCCCGAAAGCGUGGGGAGCAAACAGGAUUAGAUACCCUUGUAC